Long non-coding RNA from Homarus americanus (American lobster), 923 nucleotides. RefSeq lists it as uncharacterized. The record is from RefSeq and is a predicted model, not a curated record. NCBI's taxonomy places the organism in Eukaryota, Metazoa, Arthropoda, Malacostraca, Decapoda, Nephropidae. The transcript is spliced from 7 exons.
CGGAGGGCGGAAGAAGGUGUCGUUGGCCGAGCUGCAGCAGGUGGUGGCUGAAGCCCUAGAGGAGCGCCUUCAACCCCUCGACACCGCCCUCAGGCUCAUCAGACUGGACACCUUCGCUGACAACAUCCAUCGUCAGCUGGGCACUCUGGAACACAUUCAAAGCAAGUUACUAACGGAGUUCGGGGAGCUGAGGGCUUCUGUAGGCGAGGUCUCCAGGAACACCGUCGAACUGGCCAAGCAGGUGGCCACGGUGGACGCUCGUCUCUCCUCCCUGGACAGAUCCUUCCCUCACCGCCGGGACCAGCAGCUGCCCCAGGACAACCUCGUGCCGGAACCACUGGACUCUGAGGACUACCCACAAGCAGCGGUGCCUCACGACCUGACCCAGGUCACGCCGUCAGGGAGGCGGUCAGCUCCAUUAACAACAGGUUACAGGCGACCGAGCGGAGGUUCAAGGAGGACUUGGCGACGCUGGAGAACCGCACGACGGAGGCGCUGAAGAAGUCCCACUCUGACCUGGACCGACGUAUGGCCAUCGCUGGACUUGACAGUGUCCUCAUCCUCAACACGCUGGACAAGAUGGCCAACAAGACCUGCUCAGCUCAGGCUAUGGAGAGGCGAGGAGGAACACAGAACCACCCGGGCAGAGAAGACGCCUCCCUCCCCGCCACACGUUCACGAACCCAGAGGACCCACCUGGAGGGGAGCGCCACGCAGGACGAGCUGGCUUACUUCCCCGCCGAGGAGGAGGAAGGGGAGGACGAGGGGAAUGAGGUACCAAGCAGCGGGUCAUCAGGGGAGAGAGUGAGGACGUGGUUGAUCCGGGAGAGUGGUCGACCGGUGACUGAAGUGCAAACUCUGAACCUGGGCAUGGUGACCCGCCUCGCCUCGGAGAUCGCCAGGCAGAUGGCCGAGGAGGAGGC